CUCCUGGAAACGGGUGGUAAUGCCGGAUGCUCCAGUUGAUCGCAUGGUCUUCUGGGAAAGCUUUCGCGGUAUGGGAUGGGGUCGCGUCCUAUCAGCUUGACGGCGGGGUAACGGCCCACCGUGGCUUCGACGGGUAGCCGGCCUGAGAGGGCGACCGGCCACAUUGGGACUGAGAUGCGGCCCAGACUCCUACGGGAGGCAGCAGUGGGGAAUAUUGCACAAUGGGCGCAAGCCUGAUGCAGCGACGCCGCGUGAGGGAUGGAGGCCUUCGGGUUGUAAACCUCUUUUAUCGGGGAGCAAGCGAGAGCGAGUUUACCCGUUGAAUAAGCACCGGCUAACUACGUGCCAGCAGCCGCGGUAAUACGUAGGGUGCAAGCGUUAUCCGGAAUUAUUGGGCGUAAAGGGCUCGUAGGCGGUUCGUCGCGUCCGGUGUGAAAGUCCAUCGCUUAACGGUGGAUCCGCGCCGGGUACGGGCGGGCUUGAGUGCGGUAGGGGAGACUGGAAUUCCCGGUGUAACGGUGGAAUGUGUAGAUAUCGGGAAGAACACC
Molecule: ribosomal RNA, 548 nt
Filed under: uncultured bacterium
Lineage: Bacteria
Description: bacterial SSU rRNA
Rfam family: Bacterial small subunit ribosomal RNA
Source: RNAcentral